UCAGAUUGUGGGCUGAAACUCGCCCACAUGAAGACGGAGUUGCUAGUAAUCGCGAAUCAGCAUGUCGCGGUGAAUGCGUUCCCGGGCCUUGUACACACCGCCCGUCACACCAUGGGAGUCGGGAAUGCCCGAAGUCAGUGGCCCAACCGGAAGGAGGGAGCUGCCGAAGGCAGGCCCGGUGACUGGGGUGAAGUCGUAACAAGGUAGC
This 208-nucleotide ribosomal RNA is filed under the name uncultured bacterium. RNAcentral describes it as "partial 16S ribosomal RNA". It matches the Rfam family "Bacterial small subunit ribosomal RNA", at positions 1293 to 1500 of the family's 1533-position model. The record is from RNAcentral.